Long non-coding RNA from Hydractinia symbiolongicarpus, 1295 nucleotides. RefSeq lists it as uncharacterized. NCBI's taxonomy places the organism in Eukaryota, Metazoa, Cnidaria, Hydrozoa, Anthoathecata, Hydractiniidae. The record is from RefSeq and is a predicted model, not a curated record. The transcript has 3 exons.
UCAGGUUGUAUGUACUUUAGCCGUAAAUUGAUAAACAAGGCAUUUCAGGAAGGCGAGUGUUACAUAUUUGCGAUUUUUCGGAUUCAUACAAGAUAAUUGUCAUUUAGGGGCAACAACUUCGUCUCAGGUUCUAUAUAUUUACCGUAAAAUUGAUAAACGAGGCAUUUAAAAUUGACGAGUGUCUCAUAUAUUUGCGAUUUUUCGAAUUGACACAGGAUAGCUGUACUUUAGAGUCAACAAUUUCGUUUCGGGUUCUUAUAUUUUAGUCCUAAAAUUUAUAAACAAGGCAUUUAAAAGAGACGAGUGUUACAUAUUUGCGAUUUUUCAUAUUGAUACAAGAUAAUUGUCAUUUAGGGGCAACAACCUCGUCUCAGGUUCUAUGUAUUUUAGCCGUAAAAAUGGUAAGCGAGGCAUAUAAAAUGAACGAGUGUCUCAUAUUUUUGCGAUUUUUCGAAUUGACACAGGUAAAAUUGACGAGUGUCUCAUAUAUUUACGAUUUUUCGUUUUGAAACAAGAUAAUUGUCAUUUAGGGGCAACAACUUCGUCUCAGGUUGUAUGUACUUUAGCCGUAAAUUGAUAAACAAGGCAUUUCAGGAAGGCGAGUGUUACAUAUUUGCGAUUUUUCGGAUUCAUACAAGAUAAUUGUCAUUUAGGGGCAACAACUUCGUCUCAGGUUCUAUAUAUUUACCGUAAAAUUGAUAAACGAGGCAUUUAAAAUUGACGAGUGUCUCAUAUAUUUGCGAUUUUUCGAAUUGACACAGGAUAGCUGUACUUUAGAGUCAACAAUUUCGUUUCGGGUUCUUAUAUUUUAGUCCUAAAAUUUAUAAACAAGGCAUUUAAAAGAGACGAGUGUUACAUAUUUGCGAUUUUUCAUAUUGAUACAAGAUAAUUGUCAUUUAGGGGCAACAACCUCGUCUCAGGUUCUAUGUAUUUUAGCCGUAAAAAUGGUAAGCGAGGCAUAUAAAAUGAACGAGUGUCUCAUAUUUUUGCGAUUUUUCGAAUUGACACAGGUAAAAUUGACGAGUGUCUCAUAUAUUUACGAUUUUUCGUUUUGAAACAAGAUAAUUGUCAUUUAGGGGCAACAACUUCGUCUCAGGUUCUAUGUACUUUAGCCGUAAAAUUGAUAAACAAGGCAUUUCAGAAAGGCGAGUGUUACAUAUUUGCGAUUUUUCGGAUUCAUACAAGAUAAUUGUCAUUUAGGGGCAACAACUUCGUCUCAGGUUCUAUAUAUUUUAGCCGUAAAAUUGAUGAAGGAGGCAUUUGAAUUUGGCGAGUGUCUCAUAUAUUUGCGAUUU